This 2925-nucleotide ribosomal RNA is filed under the name Escherichia coli. Its description in RNAcentral is "bacterial LSU rRNA". It matches the Rfam family "Bacterial large subunit ribosomal RNA". Lineage: Bacteria; Pseudomonadati; Pseudomonadota; Gammaproteobacteria; Enterobacterales; Enterobacteriaceae. The record is from RNAcentral.
GGGUUGUGAGGUUAAGCGACUAAGCGUACACGGUGGAUGCCCUGGCAGUCAGAGGCGAUGAAGGACGUGCUAAUCUGCGAUAAGCGUCGGUGAGGUGAUAUGAACCGUUAUAACCGGCGAUUUCCGAAUGGGGAAACCCAGUGUGUUUCGACACACUAUCAUUAACUGAAUCCAUAGGUUAAUGAGGCGAACCGGGGGAACUGAAACAUCUAAGUACCCCGAGGAAAAGAAAUCAACCGAGAUUCCCCCAGUAGCGGCGAGCGAACGGGGAGGAGCCCAGAGCCUGAAUCAGUGUGUGUGUUAGUGGAAGCGUCUGGAAAGGCGCGCGAUACAGGGUGACAGCCCCGUACACAAAAAUGCACAUAUUGUGAGCUCGAUGAGUAGGGCGGGACACGUGGUAUCCUGUCUGAAUAUGGGGGGACCAUCCUCCAAGGCUAAAUACUCCUGACUGACCGAUAGUGAACCAGUACCGUGAGGGAAAGGCGAAAAGAACCCCGGCGAGGGGAGUGAAAAAGAACCUGAAACCGUGUACGUACAAGCAGUGGGAGCCUCUUAAUGGGGUGACUGCGUACCUUUUGUAUAAUGGGUCAGCGACUUAUAUUCUGUAGCAAGGUUAACCGAAUAGGGGAGCCGAAGGGAAACCGAGUCUUAACUGGGCGUUAAGUUGCAGGGUAUAGACCCGAAACCCGGUGAUCUAGCCAUGGGCAGGUUGAAGGUUGGGUAACACUAACUGGAGGACCGAACCGACUAAUGUUGAAAAAUUAGCGGAUGACUUGUGGCUGGGGGUGAAAGGCCAAUCAAACCGGGAGAUAGCUGGUUCUCCCCGAAAGCUAUUUAGGUAGCGCCUCGUGAAUUCAUCUCCGGGGGUAGAGCACUGUUUCGGCAAGGGGGUCAUCCCGACUUACCAACCCGAUGCAAACUGCGAAUACCGGAGAAUGUUAUCACGGGAGACACACGGCGGGUGCUAACGUCCGUCGUGAAGAGGGAAACAACCCAGACCGCCAGCUAAGGUCCCAAAGUCAUGGUUAAGUGGGAAACGAUGUGGGAAGGCCCAGACAGCCAGGAUGUUGGCUUAGAAGCAGCCAUCAUUUAAAGAAAGCGUAAUAGCUCACUGGUCGAGUCGGCCUGCGCGGAAGAUGUAACGGGGCUAAACCAUGCACCGAAGCUGCGGCAGCGACACUAUGUGUUGUUGGGUAGGGGAGCGUUCUGUAAGCCUGUGAAGGUGGCCUGUGAGGGUUGCUGGAGGUAUCAGAAGUGCGAAUGCUGACAUAAGUAACGAUAAAGCGGGUGAAAAGCCCGCUCGCCGGAAGACCAAGGGUUCCUGUCCAACGUUAAUCGGGGCAGGGUGAGUCGACCCCUAAGGCGAGGCCGAAAGGCGUAGUCGAUGGGAAACAGGUUAAUAUUCCUGUACUUGGUGUUACUGCGAAGGGGGGACGGAGAAGGCUAUGUUGGCCGGGCGACGGUUGUCCCGGUUUAAGCGUGUAGGCUGGUUUUCCAGGCAAAUCCGGAAAACCAAGGCUGAGGCGUGAUGACGAGGCACUACGGUGCUGAAGUGACAAAUGCCCUGCUUCCAGGAAAAGCCUCUAAGCAUCAGGUAACAUCAAAUCGUACCCCAAACCGACACAGGUGGUCAGGUAGAGAAUACCAAGGCGCUUGAGAGAACUCGGGUGAAGGAACUAGGCAAAAUGGUGCCGUAACUUCGGGAGAAGGCACGCUGAUAUGUAGGUGAAGCGACUUGCUCGUGGAGCUGAAAUCAGUCGAAGAUACCAGCUGGCUGCAACUGUUUAUUAAAAACACAGCACUGUGCAAACACGAAAGUGGACGUAUACGGUGUGACGCCUGCCCGGUGCCGGAAGGUUAAUUGAUGGGGUUAGCGGUAACGCGAAGCUCUUGAUCGAAGCCCCGGUAAACGGCGGCCGUAACUAUAACGGUCCUAAGGUAGCGAAAUUCCUUGUCGGGUAAGUUCCGACCUGCACGAAUGGCGUAAUGAUGGCCAGGCUGUCUCCACCCGAGACUCAGUGAAAUUGAACUCGCUGUGAAGAUGCAGUGUACCCGCGGCAAGACGGAAAGACCCCGUGAACCUUUACUAUAGCUUGACACUGAACAUUGAGCCUUGAUGUGUAGGAUAGGUGGGAGGCUUUGAAGUGUGGACGCCAGUCUGCAUGGAGCCGACCUUGAAAUACCACCCUUUAAUGUUUGAUGUUCUAACGUUGGCCCGUAAUCCGGGUUGCGGACAGUGUCUGGUGGGUAGUUUGACUGGGGCGGUCUCCUCCUAAAGAGUAACGGAGGAGCACGAAGGUUGGCUAAUCCUGGUCGGACAUCAGGAGGUUAGUGCAAUGGCAUAAGCCAGCUUGACUGCGAGCGUGACGGCGCGAGCAGGUGCGAAAGCAGGUCAUAGUGAUCCGGUGGUUCUGAAUGGAAGGGCCAUCGCUCAACGGAUAAAAGGUACUCCGGGGAUAACAGGCUGAUACCGCCCAAGAGUUCAUAUCGACGGCGGUGUUUGGCACCUCGAUGUCGGCUCAUCACAUCCUGGGGCUGAAGUAGGUCCCAAGGGUAUGGCUGUUCGCCAUUUAAAGUGGUACGCGAGCUGGGUUUAGAACGUCGUGAGACAGUUCGGUCCCUAUCUGCCGUGGGCGCUGGAGAACUGAGGGGGGCUGCUCCUAGUACGAGAGGACCGGAGUGGACGCAUCACUGGUGUUCGGGUUGUCAUGCCAAUGGCACUGCCCGGUAGCUAAAUGCGGAAGAGAUAAGUGCUGAAAGCAUCUAAGCACGAAACUUGCCCCGAGAUGAGUUCUCCCUGAGACUUAGAGUCUCCUGAAGGAACGUUGAAGACGACGACGUUGAUAGGCCGGGUGUGUAAGCGCAGCGAUGCGUUGAGCUAACCGGUACUAAUGAACCGUGAGGCUUAACCUUACAACGCCGAAG